This is a long non-coding RNA of Lactuca sativa (garden lettuce), 1059 nucleotides long. RefSeq lists it as uncharacterized. The record is from RefSeq and is a predicted model, not a curated record. Lineage: Eukaryota; Viridiplantae; Streptophyta; Magnoliopsida; Asterales; Asteraceae.
AAAAAAAAGAAACGUAUUGAUCAUCACAAUUUCGUAUCUAAAUCACCUACCGCCUUCUCCUCCAUCUACAAUGGCCUCACCACGUUCUCCACCACCACCAUUAACCCUCGCCGUCACAUAUUCUCCCUAAUUUAAACAAAUGGCGCUCAAUCAACUGAAUUGCAAAGAAUAAACACACACUUUACAAAUGAGUUGCUCAUUCUUCGGUGUUUUUCAUGAUCUGAAAUCUUUUCCUUCUCCUCCGAUUGAUGGAUUGACGUUCUGGUCCCCGACGGUAGUACUACCAGUCCUUGUACAGCAGAAGAUAUUUUUAAAGAUUAUAGCGGUCGUCAUGGCGGGAUAGUUCGUGCUUUAGUUCAUGUGCACAUUUGCUUCUAUUCUUUGAGGUGGAUUUUUCCAAUUCAGUUGAUAAUUCCAGGGAUAUUUCUAAAGGUGUCAAUUUGGCUAUGUUGUUCCUGUAGUAAUUGAUGUUUCAGUUCAACGAUACACUAAGUUAGUCCGAUUGUACUCAACAAUUCAUAAAAUGCCAGGUCAUACUCACAAAUGCAACAACAAUGCCAUUUGAAUUCAAAUUCGAUAUCCCAUUUGGUGUAUCUCCUAAGAUUCUGGACCCUGUAUGUCAUCCUAUUCGUUGCUGUGUGUCUGUGCAUGAUGUGUGUUGGCCUUCUGUUGGGACUGGGAGGGUAAACAAGGGAUCAAAUUUAUAUAUUAUCAUGAUGCUAAUAUUGAUGACAAGAUAGAGAACCAAGAUCAGUCAAAUAAGAGGUGUAUUCACAUGAUUAUAUUAAGUAAUCCUUUAAUAGUGAAAAACUGUUUACGAGUUGAAGUAUCUGUCAUGAUUGAGAGUGGUGGAGUUUCACAUAGCAUGCUGCUUUCAGAGGUCCAUUAUAUGUGACAAUGGAAAAGGUGAUGGAUGCAUUCUCUAGGGCUCGUGAAAUCUGCAUAUUUGUUCUGACCCUAAUAUUGCUUCGAGUGAGAUCAUGGUCAGAGUUAGUCGAUCCCAAUCUGAAUCUGAUGUGGCAAGUACCUCAAACUACAUGUGGUCUAGUCAAUUCUUCC